AUUGAACGCUGGCGGCAGGCCUAACACAUGCAAGUCGAGCGAAUGAACGGAGCUUUCUCCUGUAUUCAGCUGCGGACGGGUGAGUAAUUCCUAGGAAUCUGCCUGGUAUUUGGGGAUAACGUCCGGUCACGGGCGCUAAUACCGCACACGUCCUUAUGGAGAACGGGGGGGAUCUUAGGUCCUAACGCUUCUUGCUGACCCUAGUACGGAUUAGCGAGUUGGUUGGGUAAAGGCCUACCAAGGCGACGAUCCGUAACUGGUCUGAGAGGGUGAUCAGUCACACUGGAACUGAGACACGGUCCAGACUCCUACGGGAGGCAGCAGUGGGGAAUAUUCGGCAAUGGGCGAAAGCCUGAUGCAGCAAUGCCGCGUGAGUGAAGAAGGUCUUCGGAUCGUAAAGCACUGUUAGUAGGGAGGAACAGAAGUAAGUGAAUAUCUGGAUGUCUUGACGGUACCAAAAGAGAAAGCACCGGCUAACUACGUG
This 484-nucleotide ribosomal RNA is filed under the name uncultured bacterium. RNAcentral's name for it is "partial 16S ribosomal RNA". It matches the Rfam family "Bacterial small subunit ribosomal RNA", at positions 30 to 507 of the family's 1533-position model. The record is from RNAcentral.